CUUACGGAUCCACCAUCUGAAGAACCUGCUACCAAUGCAUCUCGUGCUGUAAGAGAUAGUUAUUUGAAGUGACUCAGUAAUCGCAUGACAGUGCGUUGCAUUAUGAGGGCAGCCAUGAUGAUAAACUUAGUCGUAAGUUUGAGAAUGCACAGCUAGAGGAUAUGAUUCAAAUAUUGAAAGAGUCCUUUGGCACCCCUAA
Molecule: long non-coding RNA, 199 nt
Filed under: Elaeis guineensis (African oil palm)
Lineage: Eukaryota; Viridiplantae; Streptophyta; Magnoliopsida; Arecales; Arecaceae
Description: long non-coding RNA (EGUI_LNC077364)
Source: RNAcentral